GACGAACGCUGGCGGCGUGCCUAAUACAUGCAAGUUGAGCGAUGAAGCUUGGUGCUUGCACCAAUUUGAAGAGCAGCGCACGGGUGAGUAACGCGUGGGGAAUCUGCCUUUGAGCGGGGGACAACAUUUGGAAACGAAUGCUAAUACCGCAUAACAACUUUAAACAUAAGUUUUAAGUUUGAAAGAUGCAAUUGCAUCACUCAAAGAUGAUCCCGCGUUGUAUUAGCUAGUUGGUGAGGUAAAGGCUCACCAAGGCGAUGAUACAUAGCCGACCUGAGAGGGUGAUCGGCCACAUUGGGACUGAGACACGGCCCAAACUCCUACAGGAGGCAGCAGUAGGGAAUCUUCGGCAAUGGACGAAAGUCUGACCGAGCAACGCCGCGUGAGUGAAGAAGGUUUUCGGAUCGUAAAACUCUGUUGGUAGAGAAGAACGUUGGUGAGAGUGGAAAGCUCAUCAAGUGACGGUAACUACCCAGAAAGGGACGGCUAACUACGUG
RNAcentral lists this ribosomal RNA (497 nucleotides) under uncultured bacterium. RNAcentral describes it as "partial 16S ribosomal RNA". It matches the Rfam family "Bacterial small subunit ribosomal RNA", at positions 28 to 507 of the family's 1533-position model. The record is from RNAcentral.